GAUGAAGAACGUAGCGAAAUGCGAUAAGUAAUGUGAAUUGCAGAAUUUAGUGAAUCAUCGAAUCUUUGAACGCAUAUUGCGCCCGCCAGCACUCUGGCGGGCAUGCCUGUUCGAGCGUCAUUUCAACCCUCAGGCCUCGCGUCUGGCGUUGGGGCGCUGCGGCCCUCCCGCAGGCCCCCAAAUUUAGCGGCGGAUUCCCCGCGGCCCUGCGCGCAGUAGAGAGUAAAAACUUUAACGCUCCGGCGGCCGUGGCGCGGUUCUGCCUCUUUCCCAAUAGCGCCAAUAGCGCCACCCCCAAAAAAGUUGACCUCGGAUCAGGUAGGACUACCCGCUGAACUUAAGCAUAUCAAUAAGCGGAGGA
RNAcentral lists this unclassified non-coding RNA (361 nucleotides) under soil metagenome. Its description in RNAcentral is "partial contains 5.8S ribosomal RNA, internal transcribed spacer 2, and large subunit ribosomal RNA". The stretch from base 1 to 120 matches the Rfam family "5.8S ribosomal RNA", at positions 35 to 154 of the family's 154-position model. The record is from RNAcentral.